GUGGGGAAUAUUGGACAAUGGGGGCAACCCUGAUCCAGCAAUGCCGCGUGGGUGAAGAAGGCCUUCGGGUUGUAAAGCCCUUUUGUACGGGAAGAAAAGCUUCGGAUUAAUACUUCGAGGUCAUGACGGUACCGUAAGAAUAAGCACCGGCUAACUUCGUGCCAGCAGCCGCGGUAAUACGAAGGGUGCAAGCGUUAAUCGGAAUUACUGGGCGUAAAGCGUGCGUAGGUGGUUUGUUAAGUCUGAUGUGAAAGCCCUGGGCUCAACCUGGGAAUGGCAUUGGAUACUGGCUUACUAGAGUGCGGUAGAGGGAUGCGGAAUUUCCGGUGUAGCGGUGAAAUGCGUAGAGAUCGGAAGGAACAUCUGUGGCGAAGGCGGCAUCCUGGACCAGCACUGACACUGAGGCACGAAAGCGUGGGGAGCAAACAGGAUUAGAAACCCUAGUAGUCC
Molecule: ribosomal RNA, 450 nt
Filed under: uncultured bacterium
Lineage: Bacteria
Description: bacterial SSU rRNA
Rfam family: Bacterial small subunit ribosomal RNA
Source: RNAcentral